CCUACGGGGGCUGCAGUGGGGAAUAUUGGACAAUGGGCGAAAGCCUGAUCCAGCCAUGCCGCGUGUGUGGAGAAGGCCUUCGGGUUGUAAAGCACUUUCAGUGGGGAAGAAAGCCUUGGGGCUAAUACCCUCGAGGAAGGACAUCACCCACAGAAGAAGCACCGGCUAACUCCGUGCCAGCAGCCGCGGUAAUACGGAGGGUGCGAGCGUUAAUCGGAAUUACUGGGCGUAAAGCGCGCGUAGGCGGUCUGAUAAGCCGGUUGUGAAAGCCCCGGGCUCAACCUGGGAACGGCAUCCGGAACUGUCAGGCUAGAGUGCAGGAGAGGAAGGUAGAAUUCCCGGUGUAGCGGUGAAAUGCGUAGAGAUCGGGAGGAAUACCAGUGGCGAAGGCGGCCUUCUGGACUGACACUGACGCUGAGGUGCGAAAGCGUGGGUAGCAAACAGGAUUAGAUACCCGAGUAGUC
RNAcentral lists this ribosomal RNA (464 nucleotides) under Vreelandella stevensii. RNAcentral describes it as "partial 16S ribosomal RNA". It matches the Rfam family "Bacterial small subunit ribosomal RNA", at positions 338 to 795 of the family's 1533-position model. The record is from RNAcentral. Lineage: Bacteria; Pseudomonadati; Pseudomonadota; Gammaproteobacteria; Oceanospirillales; Halomonadaceae.